Molecule: ribosomal RNA, 919 nt
Filed under: uncultured archaeon
Lineage: Archaea
Description: bacterial SSU rRNA
Rfam family: Archaeal small subunit ribosomal RNA
Source: RNAcentral
UUCCGGUUGAUCCUGCCGGAGGCCAUUGCUAUUGGGGUUCGACUUAACCAUGCUAGUCGUACGAGUUUAGACUCGUGGCGAAUAGCUCAGUAACACGUGGUCAAACUACCCUGUGGACUGGGAUAACCUCGGGAAACUGAGGCUAAUCCCAGAUAGUGCUCCCAGCCUGGAAUGGCGGGAGCCUGAAACGUUCCGACGCCACAGGAUGUGACUGCGGCCGAUUAGGUAGACGGUGGGGUAACGGCCCACCGUGCCGAUAAUCGGUACAGGUCAUGAGAGUGAGAGCCUGGAGACGGGAUCUGAGACAAGAUCCCGGGCCCUACGGGGCGCAGCAGGCGCGAAACCUUUACAAUGCACGCAAGUGCGAUAAGGGAACUCCAAGUGCGAGGGCAUACAGUCCUCGCUUUUCUGCACUGUAAGGUGGUGCAAGAAUAAGGGCUGGGCAAGACCGGUGCCAGCCGCCGCGGUAAUACCGGCAGCCCAAGUGAUGGCCAAUAUUAUUGGGCCUAAAGCGUCCGUAGCUGGCCGGGCAAGUCCAUCGGGAAAUUCACACGCUUAACGUGUGGCCGUCCGGUGGAAACUGUUCGGCUUGGAGCCGGAGGACCCGAGGGGUACGUCUGGGGUAGGAGUGAAAUCCUGUAAUCCUGGACGGACCGCCGGUGGCGAAAGCGCCUCGGGAAGACGGACUCGACAGUGAGGGACGAAAGCUAGGGUCUCGAACCGGAUUAGAUACCCGGGUAGUCCUAGCCGUAAACGAUGACCACUCGGUGUGGCACUGGCUACGAGCCAGUGCCGUGCCCUAGGGAAGCCGUGAAGUGGUCCGCCUGGGAAGUACGCCCGCAAGGGUGAAACUUAAAGGAAUUGGCGGGGGAGCACUACAACCGGAGGAGCCUGCGGUUUAAUUGGAUUCAACGCCGGA